RNAcentral lists this ribosomal RNA (497 nucleotides) under uncultured bacterium. RNAcentral's name for it is "partial 16S ribosomal RNA". It matches the Rfam family "Bacterial small subunit ribosomal RNA", at positions 28 to 507 of the family's 1533-position model. The record is from RNAcentral.
GAUGAACGCUGGCGGCGUGCCUAAUACAUGCAAGUCGAGCGAACAGACGAGGAGCUUGCUCCUCUGACGUUAGCGGCGGACGGGUGAGUAACACGUGGAUAACCUACCUAUAAGACUGGGAUAACUUCGGGAAACCGGAGCUAAUACCGGAUAAUAUAUUGAACCGCAUGGUUCAAUAGUGAAAGACGGUUUUGCUGUCACUUAUAGAUGGAUCCGCGCCGCAUUAGCUAGUUGGUAAGGUAACGGCUUACCAAGGCAACGAUGCGUAGCCGACCUGAGAGGGUGAUCGGCCACACUGGAACUGAGACACGGUCCAGACUCCGACGGGAGGCAGCAGUAGGGAAUCUUCCGCAAUGGGCGAAGGCGUGACGGAGCAACGCCGCGUGAGUGAUGAAGGUCUUCGGAUCGUAAAACUCUGUUAUUAGGGAAGAACAAAUGUGUAAGUAACUAUGCACGUCUUGACGGUACCUAAUCAGAAAGCCACGGCUAACUACGUG